CCCUUAGAUGUUCUGGGCCACACGCGCGCUACACUGAUGAAUUCAACGAGCUCCUAACCUAGGCCGAAGGGUCCGGGUAAUCUUUGAAAUUUCAUCGUGAUGGGGAUAGAUUAUUGCAAUUAUUAAUCUUCAACGAGGAAUUCCUAGUAAGCGCGAGUCAUCAGCUCGCGUUGAUUACGUCCCUGCCCUUUGUACACACCGCCCGUCGCUCCUACCGAUUGAAUGGUCCGGUGAAAUGUUCGGACCGCGACAAGGCGGACGGUUCGCUGUCAGCUUUGCUGCGGGAAGUUCAUUAAACCUUAUCAUUUAGAGGAAGGAGAAGUCGUAACA
This 330-nucleotide ribosomal RNA is filed under the name uncultured eukaryote. RNAcentral describes it as "partial 18S ribosomal RNA". It matches the Rfam family "Eukaryotic small subunit ribosomal RNA", at positions 1470 to 1796 of the family's 1831-position model. The record is from RNAcentral.